Molecule: ribosomal RNA, 468 nt
Filed under: uncultured bacterium
Lineage: Bacteria
Description: bacterial SSU rRNA
Rfam family: Bacterial small subunit ribosomal RNA
Source: RNAcentral
UGGUGAGUAGCGAACCGAAAGGGGGAGCGACCCGUCAAAUCGGGCCAUCACACAGGUGCUGCAUGGCUGUCGUCAGCUCGUGCCGUGAGGUGUUGGGUUCAGUCCCGCAACGUAGCGCAACCCUCGCCCUUUGUUGCCAUUCGGGUAAAGCCGGGCACUCUAAGGGGACUGCCAGCGACAAGUUGGAGGAAGGAGAGGAUGACGUCAAGUCAUCAUGGCCUUUAUGCCUAGGGCCACACACGUGCAACAAUGGCCGGUACAGACGGAGGCAAUGCCGAGAGGCGGAGCAAACCCGAGAAAACCGGUCCCAGUUCGGAUUGAGGUCUGCAACUCGACCUCAUGAAGUCGGAAUCGCUAGUAAUCGCAUAUCAGAACGAUGCGGUGAAUACGUUACCCGGGCCUUGUACACACCGCCCGUCACACCACGAAAGUUUGUUGUACCCGAAGUCGGUGCCUUAACCUCGCAAG